Molecule: transfer RNA, 87 nt
Filed under: Phycisphaerales bacterium
Lineage: Bacteria; Pseudomonadati; Planctomycetota; Phycisphaerae; Phycisphaerales
Description: tRNA-Ser
Rfam family: tRNA
About the family: Transfer RNA (tRNA) molecules are approximately 80 nucleotides in length. Their secondary structure includes four short double-helical elements and three loops (D, anti-codon, and T loops).
Source: RNAcentral
GGAGGAGUGGCCGAGUGGCUGAAGGCGACGGUCUUGAAAACCGUUAGGCGAGAAAUCGUCUCGGGGGUUCGAAUCCCUCCUCCUCCG